GAUGAAGAACGUAGCGAAAUGCGAUAAGUAGUGUGAAUUGCAGAAUUCAGUGAAUCAUCGAAUCUUUGAACGCACAUUGCGCCCCUUGGUAUCCCGAGGGGCAUGCCUGUUCGAGCGUCAUUUCACCACUCAAGCCUGGCUUGGUGUUGGGCGACGUCCCCUUUGGGGACGCGCCUCGAAACGCUCGGCGGCGUGGCACCGGCUUUAAGCGUAGCAGAAUCUUUCGCUUUGGAAGUCGGGGCCCCGUCUGCCUGAAGACCUACUCGCAAGGUUGACCUCGGAUCAGGCAGGGAUACCCGCUGAACUUAAGCAUAUCAAUAAGCGGAGGA
RNAcentral lists this unclassified non-coding RNA (329 nucleotides) under soil metagenome. RNAcentral's name for it is "partial contains 5.8S ribosomal RNA, internal transcribed spacer 2, and large subunit ribosomal RNA". The stretch from base 1 to 120 matches the Rfam family "5.8S ribosomal RNA", at positions 35 to 154 of the family's 154-position model. The record is from RNAcentral.